RNAcentral lists this ribosomal RNA (253 nucleotides) under uncultured bacterium. Its description in RNAcentral is "partial 16S ribosomal RNA". It matches the Rfam family "Bacterial small subunit ribosomal RNA", at positions 524 to 776 of the family's 1533-position model. The record is from RNAcentral.
UACGUAUGGUGCAAGCGUUAUCCGGAUUUACUGGGUGUAAAGGGAGCGCAGGCGGCGCGGCAAGUCCGAUGUGAAAACCCCCGGCUCAACCGGGGGACUGCAUUGGAAACUACCGGGCUGGAGUGCCGGAGAGGUAGGCGGAAUUCCUGGUGUAGCGGUGAAAUGCGUAGAUAUCAGGAGCAACACCAGUGGCGAAGGCGGCCUACUGGACGGUGACUGACGCUGAGGCUCGAAAGCGUGGGGAGCAAACAGG